Molecule: non-coding RNA, 73 nt
Organism: Oryzias latipes (Japanese medaka)
Lineage: Eukaryota; Metazoa; Chordata; Actinopteri; Beloniformes; Adrianichthyidae
Source: Rfam
CAUCAGAAAGCUAAAAGGGUGUAGCAUUAGCCUUUUAAGCUAAAAAUUGGUGACUCCCGCCCACCUCUGGUGA